AUGGUGAGUUAUAAGGCUGACUCCCCUUGGUUUUUCUGGAGGCAACAGCCUCUAGAGAGACCCUUGGCUAAGGCCUCUGAACUCCUGCCCAGUUCAGACCAGGCCAGAGCAGCUAUCCUUCCCUUUUUCCUCUCUCUCUCUCUGUCUCUCUCUGUCUCUCUGUCUCUGUCUCUGUCUCUGUCUCUGUCUCUCUCUCUCUCUCUCUCUCUCUGUUUCUCUCUCUCUCUCUCUCUCUUUUUUUUUUCACUUUGCCCUUGUUUUUAUAUGUCAGGGCACUUUUCUUUCAUGAUUUUUGGAAAUACGAUGUCCAGACUCUUUUUUAUAUAGCUUUCAGAUAAUCAAAUGAUUCUUAAGUUAUCUCUCCUUAACCUGUUUUCUAGGUUGAUUGUUUUUAAUAUGAUGUAUCUUAUAUUUUCUUUCAUUUUUUAUUUUGAUUUUGUUUUAAUAUUUCUUGUUGUUUUAUAGAAUCAUUAAAAUACUAAUUUCUGAUCAUCUGUUACUAAGAGAGGUUUUGUAUCUUGUGCUAAGCUGUUAAUUCUCUUUUUUUAUUCUUUCCUCUACUACUACUUUCAUUAAUAAUGUCAGUGGGAACUCUUUUUUUUUAAGGCUCUUACACAAUUUCUUCUAGGAUUUCUAAUUGAUUUUGUGAUCAAACUCAGUUUUUCUUCAAAGCUUACAUCUUGUAAUAAGAAAAAAAAAUUGUACAAAAAUAUUUAUAGGCUUGCUCUUUGUGGUAGCAAAAAAUUGGAAAAUUAGGGGGUGUUCCUCGAUUGGGGAAUGGCAGGACAAAUUGUGGUGAUGGUGAUGGAAUACUACUGUGCUAAAAGGAAUAAUGAACUGGAGGAAUUCUAUGUGAACUGGUACGACCUCCAGGAAUUGAUGCAGAGUGAAAGGAGCAGAACCAAAGAACAUUGUACACAGAUACUGUGCCACAAUCAAAUGUAAUGGACUUCUCUACUAGCAGCAAUGCAAUGAUCCAGGACAAUUCGGAGGGUCUUAUGAGAAAAAAAUGCUAUCCACAUCCAAAGAAAGAACUGUGGGAAUAGAAAAACAGAAGGAAAACAUGAUUGAUCACAUGGGUCAAUGGGGAUAUGAUUGAGGAUGUUGACUUUGAAUGAACACACUGAAUUAAUACACAAAUAUUAAUAAUAUGGAAAUAGGUUUUGAACAAUGAUAAAUGUAUAACCCAGUGGAACUGCUUGUCAGAUUCGGGAAGGGGAGAAAAAAGUGGGGGAUUGGGGAGAUCAUGGAUCAUAUAACCAUGGAAAAAUAUUAUAAAUUUUAAAAGGGAGGAAAAGCUUAUGUCUUGGGGAUUCCUGAAAUCACAAUAAUUUUUUAUCUUUUUUUUGUUUAAUCAUUCUUGGAGAUAGGACAUUUUAAGGUCCCUCCUUCACACUUGAAGAAUAAAUCACAAAUUGCAACUCCUCUGGAGCCA
Molecule: long non-coding RNA, 1435 nt
Filed under: Monodelphis domestica (gray short-tailed opossum)
Lineage: Eukaryota; Metazoa; Chordata; Mammalia; Didelphimorphia; Didelphidae
Description: lncRNA (ENSMODG00000039088.1)
Source: RNAcentral